Molecule: unclassified non-coding RNA, 251 nt
Filed under: uncultured Ascomycota
Lineage: Eukaryota; Fungi; Ascomycota
Description: sequence contains 5.8S rRNA gene
Source: RNAcentral
GAACGCACAUUGCGCCCCUUGGUAUUCCAUGGGUCAUGCCUGUUCGAGCGUCAUUUGUACCUUCAAGCUCUGCUUGGUGUUGGGUGUUUGUCCCGCUUUUUGCGUGGACUCGCCUCAAAGCAAUUGGCAGCCGGCGUACUAGCCUGGGAGCGCAGCACAUUUUGCGCAUCUCGACUGGAGCGCUUGCGUCCAUUAAGCCUACACUUUUGCUCUUGACCUCGGAUCAGGUAGGGAUACCCGCUGAACUUAAG